GACGAACGCUGGCGGCGUGCUUAACACAUGCAAGUCGAACGAUGAACCCGGAGCUUGCUCUGGUGGAUUAGUGGCGAACGGGUGAGUAACACGUGAGUAACCUGCCCUUGACUCUGGGAUAAGCUUUGGAAACGACGUCUAAUACCGGAUAGGACCUUGUAUCGCAUGAUCUGGGGUGGAAAGUUUUUUCGGUCUGGGAUGGACUCGCGGCCUAUCAGCUUGUUGGUGAGGUAAUGGCUCACCAAGGCUUCGACGGGUAGACGGCCUGAGAGGGUGACCGGCCACACUCAGACUGAGACACGGACCAGACACCUACGGGCGGCAGCAGUGGGGGAUAUAGCACAAUGGGCGAAAGGAUGAUGCAGCCACGCAGCGUGCGGGAGGAAGGACUGCGGGUUGUAAACAGCUCUUAGUAGGGAAGAAGGGCUUCGGCUUGACGGUACCUGCAGAAAAAGGACCGGCUAACUACGUG
RNAcentral lists this ribosomal RNA (472 nucleotides) under uncultured bacterium. RNAcentral's name for it is "partial 16S ribosomal RNA". It matches the Rfam family "Bacterial small subunit ribosomal RNA", at positions 28 to 507 of the family's 1533-position model. The record is from RNAcentral.